RNAcentral lists this ribosomal RNA (1279 nucleotides) under Salmonella enterica subsp. houtenae serovar 40:z4,z32:-. RNAcentral's name for it is "bacterial LSU rRNA". It matches the Rfam family "Bacterial large subunit ribosomal RNA", at positions 1 to 1211 of the family's 2925-position model. Lineage: Bacteria; Pseudomonadati; Pseudomonadota; Gammaproteobacteria; Enterobacterales; Enterobacteriaceae. The record is from RNAcentral.
GGGUUGUGAGGUUAAGCGACCAAGCGUACACGGUGGAUGCCCUGGCAGUCAGAGGCGAUGAAGGACGUGCUAAUCUGCGAAAAGCGCCGGUAAGGUGAUAUGAACCGUUAUAACCGGCGAUGUCCGAAUGGGGAAACCCAGUGUGAUUCGUCACACUAUCAUUAACUGAAUCCAUAGGUUAAUGAGGCGAACCGGGGGAACUGAAACAUCUAAGUACCCCGAGGAAAAGAAAUCAACCGAGAUUCCCCCAGUAGCGGCGAGCGAACGGGGAGGAGCCCAGAGCCUGAAUCAGCAUGUGUGUUAGUGGAAGCGUCUGGAAAGGCGCGCGAUACAGGGUGAGAGCCCCGUACACAAAAGCGCACGUGCUGUGAGCUCGAUGAGUAGGGCGGGACACGUGGUAUCCUGUCUGAAUAUGGGGGGACCAUCCUCCAAGGCUAAAUACUCCUGACUGACCGAUAGUGAACCAGUACCGUGAGGGAAAGGCGAAAAGAACCCCGGCGAGGGGAGUGAAACAGAACCUGAAACCGUGUACGUACAAGCAGUGGGAGCCCCACCACUAAGCCAGUGGUGAACUCCACAUACGCAUCCUUUGCUGAGGAUACGGUUAACGGAGCGAGAGCGACGUUCAACCGCAAAAGAAGCAGAGGGGGCUUAGUGGUGGGGUGACUGCGUACCUUUUGUAUAAUGGGUCAGCGACUUAUAUUCUGUAGCAAGGUUAACCGCAUAGGGGAGCCGGAGGGAAACCGAGUCUUAAUUGGGCGUUAAGUUGCAGGGUAUAGACCCGAAACCCGGUGAUCUAGCCAUGGGCAGGUUGAAGGUUGGGUAACACUAACUGGAGGACCGAACCGACUAAUGUUGAAAAAUUAGCGGAUGACCUGUGGCUGGGGGUGAAAGGCCAAUCAAACCGGGAGAUAGCUGGUUCUCCCCGAAAGCUAUUUAGGUAGCGCCUCGUGAAUUCAUCUCCGGGGGUAGAGCACUGUUUCGGCCAGGGGGCCAUCCCGGCUUACCAAUCCGAUGCAAACUGCGAAUACCGGAGAAUGUUAUCACGGGAGACACACGGCGGGUGCUAACGUCCGUCGUGAAGAGGGAAACAACCCAGACCGCCAGCUAAGGUCCCAAAGUCAUGGUUAAGUGGGAAACGAUGUGGGAAGGCCCAGACAGCCAGGAUGUUGGCUUAGAAGCAGCCAUCAUUUAAAGAAAGCGUAAUAGCUCACUGGUCGAGUCGGCCUGCGCGGAAGAUGUAACGGGGCUAAACCAUGCACCGAAGCUGCGGCAGCGA